UUGAGCCUUGAUGUGUAGGAUAGGUGGGAGGCUUUGAAGUGUGGACGCCAGUCUGCAUGGAGCCGACCUUGAAAUACCACCCUUUAAUGUUUGAUGUUCUAACGUGGACCCGUUACCCGGGUUGCGGACAGUGUCUGGUGGGUAGUUUGACUGGGGCGGUCUCCUCCUAAAGAGUAACGGAGGAGCACGAAGGUUGGCUAAUCCUGGUCGGACAUCAGGAGGUUAGUGCAAUGGCAUAAGCCAGCUUGACUGCGAGCGUGACGGCGCGAGCAGGUGCGAAAGCAGGUCAUAGUGAUCCGGUGGUUCUGAAUGGAAGGGCCAUCGCUCAACGGAUAAAAGGUACUCCGGGGAUAACAGGCUGAUACCGCCCAAGAGUUCAUAUCGACGGCGGUGUUUGGCACCUCGAUGUCGGCUCAUCACAUCCUGGGGCUGAAGUAGGUCCCAAGGGUAUGGCUGUUCGCCAUUUAAAGUGGUACGCGAGCUGGGUUUAGAACGUCGUGAGACAGUUCGGUCCCUAUCUGCCGUGGGCGCUGGAGAACUGAGGGGGGCUGCUCCUAGUACGAGAGGACCGGAGUGGACGCAUCACUGGUGUUCGGGUUGUCAUGCCAAUGGCACUGCCCGGUAGCUAAAUGCGGAAGAGAUAAGUGCUGAAAGCAUCUAAGCACGAAACUUGCCCCGAG
RNAcentral lists this ribosomal RNA (680 nucleotides) under Salmonella enterica subsp. enterica serovar Heidelberg. Its description in RNAcentral is "partial 23S ribosomal RNA". It matches the Rfam family "Bacterial large subunit ribosomal RNA", at positions 2124 to 2803 of the family's 2925-position model. Lineage: Bacteria; Pseudomonadati; Pseudomonadota; Gammaproteobacteria; Enterobacterales; Enterobacteriaceae. The record is from RNAcentral.